UUACGACUGCCAAAGAACGCAUCCCUGCCAUCCUCAGCCGGAAUCCUCCGACGACCGAGUGCCCCUCCAACAACAAAAUUAUGUCGUCGAUCGAUUCAACACAAACAGUAAGAAGUUUAGAUACAAAUCAAAGGUUCUCCUCAAUACGAUUGAAAGUUCUACGAAUUGGACAUGAAAUAGUUUGUGGAAUUAACUUAAGUACAAGGGUGAAGAAAUUGAUACUUAUGGACAACGAGGGUGUCCAAAUUGGAGCAAUAAUGUUCAAUGGAGAUAUAGAUAAUUUUGUCCGAAAAUUUGAGGUGGAUAAAACCUAUUUAAUCUCUAAUGGAGAGGUUAGACAAGUUGAUGGGCGAUAUCCUAGCAUACAUCCUGAAAAAGAAUUGAUUCUCAAAAAGUACACUGUUGUGACCGAAACAUUUGAUAGUAUUGAUACGAAGAUACAAUACAAUUUUGUUGAGUUCAAGGAUAUAGAAUCAAAGUUUGACAAAAAAGAAGAUUUCGGUAAGAGCAUAUAUUUCAACAUCUAUAUUUCAAUUUUAUUAUUACUAAUUAGAACAUAUAUUUCAUGUAUAUCAUUUACAUC
This is a long non-coding RNA of Salvia miltiorrhiza (redroot sage), 583 nucleotides long. RefSeq lists it as uncharacterized. The transcript has 3 exons. Lineage: Eukaryota; Viridiplantae; Streptophyta; Magnoliopsida; Lamiales; Lamiaceae. The record is from RefSeq and is a predicted model, not a curated record.